RNAcentral lists this ribosomal RNA (450 nucleotides) under uncultured Glomeromycotina. RNAcentral describes it as "SSU rRNA". It matches the Rfam family "Eukaryotic small subunit ribosomal RNA", at positions 569 to 1024 of the family's 1831-position model. Lineage: Eukaryota; Fungi; Glomeromycota. The record is from RNAcentral.
AGCAGCCGCGGUAAUUCCAGCUCCAAUAGCGUAUAUUAAAGUUGCUGCAGUUAAAAAGCUCGUAGUUGAAUUUCGGGACCAUCAUGUCGGUCGUGCCUCGGUACGUACUGGCAUCGUUGGUUUCUCCCUUCUGACGAACCAUGAUGUCAUUAAUUUGGUGUCAUGGGGAAUCAGGACUGUUACUUUGAAAAAAUUAGAGUGUUUAAAGCAGGCUCACGCUUGAAUACAUUAGCAUGGAAUAAUGAAAUAGGACGUUUGAUUCUAUUUUGUUGGUUUCUAGGAUCGACGUAAUGAUUAAUAGGGAUAGUUGGGGGCAUUAGUAUUCAAUUGUCAGAGGUGAAAUUCUUGGAUUUAUUGAAGACUAACUACUGCGAAAGCAUUUGCCAAGGAUGUUUUCAUUAAUCAAGAACGAAAGUUAGGGGAUCGAAGACGAUCAGAUACCGUCGUAGU